Molecule: non-coding RNA, 30 nt
Filed under: Rattus norvegicus (Norway rat)
Lineage: Eukaryota; Metazoa; Chordata; Mammalia; Rodentia; Muridae
Source: RNAcentral
UGAGCUGAAUUGAUGAUCCUUUGUGUUGGC